GAUGAAGAACGCAGUGAAAUGCGAUAAGUAAUGUGGAUUGCAGAAUCCAGUGAAUCAUCGAAUCUUUGAACGCACAUUGCGCCCGCCAGUAUUCUGGCGGGCAUGCCUGUCCGAGCGUCAUUUCAACCAUCAAGCCCCAGGCUUGUGUUGGGGACCUGCGUCCGACGCAGGCCCUGAAAACCAGUGGCGGGCUCGCUGUCCACACCGAGCGUAGUAACUAACCUCGCUACGGGAGCGGCGCGGGCGCCUGCCGUAAAACCCCCAAUUUUCACAAGGUUGACCUCGGAUCAGGUAGGAAUACCCGCUGAACUUAAGCAUAUCAAUAAGCGGAGGA
Molecule: unclassified non-coding RNA, 334 nt
Filed under: soil metagenome
Description: partial contains 5.8S ribosomal RNA, internal transcribed spacer 2, and large subunit ribosomal RNA
Rfam family: 5.8S ribosomal RNA (bases 1-120)
Source: RNAcentral